UACAGAGGGUGCGAGCGUUAAUCGGAAUUACUGGGCGUAAAGGGCGCGUAGGCGGUUAAAUAAGUUAGAUGUGAAAUCUCCGAGCUUAACUUGGGAACUGCAUAUAAUACUGUUUAGCUAGAGUAGAAUAGAGGGGAGUGGAAUUUCCGGUGUAGCGGUGAAAUGCGUAGAUAUCGGGAGGAACAUCAGUGGCGAAGGCGGCCCUCUGGUUCAGUACUGACACUCAAGUGCGAAAGCGUGGGGAGCAAACAGG
This 253-nucleotide ribosomal RNA is filed under the name uncultured bacterium. Its description in RNAcentral is "partial 16S ribosomal RNA". It matches the Rfam family "Bacterial small subunit ribosomal RNA", at positions 524 to 776 of the family's 1533-position model. The record is from RNAcentral.